Molecule: ribosomal RNA, 460 nt
Filed under: uncultured bacterium
Lineage: Bacteria
Description: partial 16S ribosomal RNA
Rfam family: Bacterial small subunit ribosomal RNA
Source: RNAcentral
CCUACGGGCGGCAGCAGUGAGGAAUAUUGGUCAAUGGACGAGAGUCUGAACCAGCCAAGUAGCGUGAAGGAUGACUGCCCUAUGGGUUGUAAACUUCUUUUAUAUGGGAAUAAAAUGUUCCACGUGUGGGAUUUUGUAUGUACCAUAUGAAUAAGGAUCGGCUAACUCCGUGCCAGCAGCCGCGGUAAUACGGAGGAUCCGAGCGUUAUCCGGAUUUAUUGGGUUUAAAGGGAGCGUAGGUGGAUUGUUAAGUCAGUUGUGAAAGUUUGCGGCUCAACCGUAAAAUUGCAGUUGAAACUGGCAGUCUUGAGUACAGUAGCGGUAGGCGGAAUGCGUGGUGUAGCGGUGAAAUGCUUAGAUAUCACGAAGAACUCCGAUUGCGAAGGCAGUUCACUGGACUGCAACUGACACUGAGGCUCGAAAGUGUGGGUAUCAAACAGGAUUAGAUACCCCAGUAGUC